ACGGGAAGAGCCCAAACCAACAAGCUUGCUUGUUGGGGUUGUAGGACACUCUAUACGGAGUUACAAAGGACGACAUUAGACGAAUCAUCUGGAAAGAUGAAUCAAAGAAGGUAAUAAUCCUGUAGUCGAAAAUGUUGUCUCUCUUGAGUGGAUCCUGAGUACGACGGAGCACGUGAAAUUCCGUCGGAAUCUGGGAGGACCAUCUCCUAAGGCUAAAUACUCUCUAGUGACCGAUAGUGAACCAGUACCGUGAGGGAAAGGUGAAAAGCACCCCGGAAGGGGAGUGAAAUAGAACCUGAAACCGUGUGCUUACAAGUAGUCAGAGCCCGUUAAUGGGUGAUGGCGUGCCUUUUGUAGAAUGAACCGGCGAGUUACGAUUUGAUGCAAGGUUAAGCAGUAAAUGUGGAGCCGUAGCGAAAGCGAGUCUGAAUAGGGCGUUUAGUAUUUGGUCGUAGACCCGAAACCAGGUGAUCUACCCUUGGUCAGGUUGAAGUUCAGGUAACACUGAAUGGAGGACCGAACCGACUUACGUUGAAAAGUGAGCGGAUGAACUGAGGGUAGCGGAGAAAUUCCAAUCGAACCUGGAGAUAGCUGGUUCUCUCCGAAAUAGCUUUAGGGCUAGCCUCAAGUGAUGAUUAUUGGAGGUAGAGCACUGUUUGGACGAGGGGCCCCUCUCGGGUUACCGAAUUCAGACAAACUCCGAAUGCCAAUUAAUUUAACUUGGGAGUCAGAACAUGGGUGAUAAGGUCCGUGUUCGAAAGGGAAACAGCCCAGACCACCAGCUAAGGUCCCAAAAUAUAUGUUAAGUGGAAAAGGAUGUGGCGUUGCCCAGACAACUAGGAUGUUGGCUUAGAAGCAGCCAUCAUUUAAAGAGUGCGUAAUAGCUCACUAGUCGAGUGACACUGCGCCGAAAAUGUACCGGGGCUAAACAUAUUACCGAAGCUGUGGAUUGUCCUUUGGACAAUGGUAGGAGAGCGUUCUAAGGGCGUUGAAGCAUGAUCGUAAGGACAUGUGGAGCGCUUAGAAGUGAGAAUGCCGGUGUGAGUAGCGAAAGACGGGUGAGAAUCCCGUCCACCGAUUGACUAAGGUUUCCAGAGGAAGGCUCGUCCGCUCUGGGUUAGUCGGGUCCUAAGCUGAGGCCGACAGGCGUAGGCGAUGGAUAACAGGUUGAUAUUCCUGUACCACCUAUAAUCGUUUUAAUCGAUGGGGGGACGCAGUAGGAUAGGCGAAGCGUGCGAUUGGAUUGCACGUCUAAGCAGUAAGGCUGAGUAUUAGGCAAAUCCGGUACUCGUUAAGGCUGAGCUGUGAUGGGGAGAAGACAUUGUGUCUUCGAGUCGUUGAUUUCACACUGCCGAGAAAAGCCUCUAGAUAGAAAAUAGGUGCCCGUACCGCAAACCGACACAGGUAGUCAAGAUGAGAAUUCUAAGGUGAGCGAGCGAACUCUCGUUAAGGAACUCGGCAAAAUGACCCCGUAACUUCGGGAGAAGGGGUGCUCUUUAGGGUUAACGCCCAGAAGAGCCGCAGUGAAUAGGCCCAAGCGACUGUUUAUCAAAAACACAGGUCUCUGCUAAACCGUAAGGUGAUGUAUAGGGGCUGACGCCUGCCCGGUGCUGGAAGGUUAAGAGGAGUGGUUAGCUUCUGCGAAGCUACGAAUCGAAGCCCCAGUAAACGGCGGCCGUAACUAUAACGGUCCUAAGGUAGCGAAAUUCCUUGUCGGGUAAGUUCCGACCCGCACGAAAGGCGUAACGAUUUGGGCACUGUCUCAACGAGAGACUCGGUGAAAUCAUAGUACCUGUGAAGAUGCAGGUUACCCGCGACAGGACGGAAAGACCCCGUGGAGCUUUACUGUAGCCUGAUAUUGAAAUUCGGCACAGCUUGUACAGGAUAGGUAGGAGCCUUUGAAACGUGAGCGCUAGCUUACGUGGAGGCGCUGGUGGGAUACUACCCUAGCUGUGUUGGCUUUCUAACCCGCACCACUUAUCGUGGUGGGAGACAGUGUCAGGCGGGCAGUUUGACUGGGGCGGUCGCCUCCUAAAAGGUAACGGAGGCGCUCAAAGGUUCCCUCAGAAUGGUUGGAAAUCAUUCAUAGAGUGUAAAGGCAUAAGGGAGCUUGACUGCGAGACCUACAAGUCGAGCAGGGUCGAAAGACGGACUUAGUGAUCCGGUGGUUCCGCAUGGAAGGGCCAUCGCUCAACGGAUAAAAGCUACCCCGGGGAUAACAGGCUUAUCUCCCCCAAGAGUUCACAUCGACGGGGAGGUUUGGCACCUCGAUGUCGGCUCAUCGCAUCCUGGGGCUGUAGUCGGUCCCAAGGGUUGGGCUGUUCGCCCAUUAAAGCGGUACGCGAGCUGGGUUCAGAACGUCGUGAGACAGUUCGGUCCCUAUCCGUCGUGGGCGUAGGAAAUUUGAGAGGAGCUGUCCUUAGUACGAGAGGACCGGGAUGGACAUACCUCUGGUGUACCAGUUGUCGUGCCAACGGCAUAGCUGGGUAGCUAUGUGUGGACGGGAUAAGUGCUGAAAGCAUCUAAGCAUGAAGCCCCCCUCAAGAUGAGAUUUCCCAACUUCGGUUAUAAGAUCCCUCAAAGAUGAUGAGGUUAAUAGGUUCGAGGUGGAAGCAUGGUGACAUGUGGAGCUGACGAAUACUAAUCGAUCGAAGACUUAAUCAA
RNAcentral lists this ribosomal RNA (2664 nucleotides) under Staphylococcus aureus. RNAcentral's name for it is "partial 23S ribosomal RNA". It matches the Rfam family "Bacterial large subunit ribosomal RNA". Lineage: Bacteria; Bacillati; Bacillota; Bacilli; Caryophanales; Staphylococcaceae. The record is from RNAcentral.